Molecule: ribosomal RNA, 40 nt
Filed under: Claviceps sorghi
Lineage: Eukaryota; Fungi; Ascomycota; Sordariomycetes; Hypocreales; Clavicipitaceae
Description: partial 28S ribosomal RNA
Source: RNAcentral
GAGUUGACCUCGAAUCAGGUAGGAAUACCCGCUGAACUAA